Molecule: non-coding RNA, 587 nt
Organism: Zootermopsis nevadensis
Lineage: Eukaryota; Metazoa; Arthropoda; Insecta; Blattodea; Termopsidae
Source: RefSeq, a predicted model, not a curated record
UGUCCGUUGCCUCGCAACACUAAAAUUAAUACUGGCCGAGUUUACUUCAAUCGACAGACAUUUAGCAGUCAUGGAUCAAUUAACAGAGCUAGAGAAGAUCCAAAUGCAGCGUUUCUUAAAAGAGGAAGCCAAGGAAAGAGAAAUGUUGGAACGAAGCAAGAGAAUGCAGCAACGACAUCCGAAACGUCAGUAAACUUCCACCAGACCACACGGAGAAGAAACAAAGCAGACGACCAUCAACUAUAUAUGUCAUUCGUGAAAAUACCUUACAGGAUCGUUCGCCAUUAAGGAAAACCAAUAGACGCUACUUGUACGUUGUAAUAGUUCUGCUCCUGAUAUGCUUCGCCUGCAUGGCUACCGGGACGAUGGAAGUAUUAUGUACGCGUUGCACAAAUUGCAAAGAUGUGAAGAUAUCGUGGGUGGUACCAAAUUUCUUUUAUAAGCCAGGUGAUAAAAAAAUUGUAAUUUAAUAAUACGCUAAUCUUUCCGAACGAAAGUUUAUGUUAAUUAUGUUACCCGUAUUAACUCGGGCUAAAACUUACAUGAUCUAUAUUUGUACUCAGAAUAAAUAUUUUUUUAAAAAAAUA